Molecule: long non-coding RNA, 309 nt
Filed under: Carica papaya (papaya)
Lineage: Eukaryota; Viridiplantae; Streptophyta; Magnoliopsida; Brassicales; Caricaceae
Description: long non-coding RNA (CPAP_LNC002875)
Source: RNAcentral
AUUAUUAUGGGGCAUUACAAUAUGGAUGUGAAUGAGGUCAUGUUUUCAUAUACACAUUAGAAUGAGAUGUUGAUUACCUUACGCUGAAUGAUUAUGUUUUUGAGAUACAAUCUCAUAUGGUAGAGACAGGUUGUAGUAACGCCCUAACCAUUUAGAUGCGGGGCAUUACAAAGAAGCUUUAGAGAAGAUUUGUACCAGCAAAUCUUACAAGACCUAAGACCAUGUUGCACUCCUUUCCACUUGGUAAGGCUUCACUUGUGCCAUCCAUACCAAUAUCAUUUUCCAUUGUAGAUGUGUUUUUCUUUGAUG